UAGCUACGUCCGGACGGGAUAACCGCUGAAAGCAUCUAAGCGGGAAGCCCACCUCGAGAUGAGCUCUCCCAUCCCCUUGAGGGAGUAAGAGCCCUGGAAGACCACCAGGUGAUAGGCCGGAUGUGUACGUGCGGUGACGCACUCAGCAGACCGGUACUAAUGCUUCGAGGGCUUGACGGA
This 180-nucleotide ribosomal RNA is filed under the name Thermoleophilaceae bacterium. RNAcentral describes it as "partial 23S ribosomal RNA". It matches the Rfam family "Bacterial large subunit ribosomal RNA", at positions 2746 to 2925 of the family's 2925-position model. The record is from RNAcentral. Lineage: Bacteria; Bacillati; Actinomycetota; Thermoleophilia; Thermoleophilales; Thermoleophilaceae.